AGUGAACGCUGGCGGUAGGCCUAACACAUGCAAGUCGAACGGCAGCACAGUAAGAGCUUGCUCUUACGGGUGGCGAGUGGCGGACGGGUGAGGAAUACAUCGGAAUCUACUUUUUCGUGGGGGAUAACGUAGGGAAACUUACGCUAAUACCGCAUACGACCUACGGGUGAAAGCAGGGGAUCUUCGGACCUUGCGCGAUUGAAUGAGCCGAUGUCGGAUUAGCUAGUUGGCGGGGUAAAGGCCCACCAAGGCGACGAUCCGUAGCUGGUCUGAGAGGAUGAUCAGCCACACUGGAACUGAGGCACGGUCCAGACUCCUACGGGAGGCAGCAGUGGGGAAUAUUGGACGAUGGGCGCAAGCCUGAUCCAGCCAUACCGCGUGGGUGAAGAAGGCCUUCGGGUUGUAAAGCCCUUUUGUUGGGAAAGAAAAGCAGCAGGUUAAUACCCCGCUGUUCUGACGGUACCCAAAGAAUAAGCACCGGCUAACUUCGUG
RNAcentral lists this ribosomal RNA (492 nucleotides) under uncultured bacterium. RNAcentral's name for it is "partial 16S ribosomal RNA". It matches the Rfam family "Bacterial small subunit ribosomal RNA", at positions 29 to 507 of the family's 1533-position model. The record is from RNAcentral.